CAUGGUUAUAACGGGUAACGGGGAAUUAGGGUUCGAUUCCGGAGAGGGGGCCUGAGAGAUGGCCACCACUUCCAAGGAAGGCAGCAGGCGCGCAAAUUACCCAAUCCCAAUUCGGGGAGGUAGUGACAAGAAAUACCAGUACAGGGCCCAAUGGGUACUGUGAUUGGAAUGAAUACAAUUUAAAAACCUUAAUGAGGAACGAUUGGAGGGCAAGUCUGGUGCCAGCAGCCGCGGUAAUUCCAGCUCCAAUAGUGUAUAUUAAAGUUGCUGCAGUUAAAAAGCUCGUAGUUGGAUUUCGGAUAAUAAAAAUUUAAUAUCCAUCCUUAAAAUGUGAUUUAAUUUUUAUUUCCUUCCUUUUGAAUACACUCCCUAAACUUUUUUAGGGAAUCAAGUGUUUCAAAUCGUUUACUGUGAAGAAAUUAGAGUGUUCAAAGCAGGCGUAACCUAGCCUUUGAAUAUAUUAGCAUGGGAUAAUGAAAUAGGACUUUAGUCCUACUUUCGUUGGUUUCUAGGGCUGAAGUAAUGAUUAAUAGGGAUAGUUGGGGUCACUAGUAUUUAAUUGUCAGAGGUGAAAUUCUAAGAUUUAUUAAAGACUAACUACUGCGAAAGCAUUUGACAAGGAUGUUUUCAUUAAUCAAGAACGAAAGUUGGGGGAUCGAAGAUGAUCAGAUACCGUCGUAGUCUCAACCAUAAACUAUGCCGACCAAGGAUCCGGGGUUGUUAAUAUGGAUGACUCUCCGGGCACUUAUAGAGAAAUCAUAAGUAUUUGGGCUCCGGGGGGAGUAUGGUCGCAAGGCUGAAACUUAAAGGAAUUGACGGAAGGGCACCACAAGGAGUGGAACCUGCGGUUUAAUUGACCCAACACGGGGAAACUUACCAGGUCCAGACACAGUGAGGAUUGACAGAUUGAGAGUUCUUUCUUGAUUCUGUGAGUGGUGGUGCAUGGCCGUUUCUAGUUGGUGGAGUGAUUUGUCUGGUUAAUUCCGUUAACGAACGAGACCUUAACCUAUUAAAUAGUUGUUUGAACUUGAUUUUUUAAAUCAAAUGUUCAAUUAACUUCUUAGAGGGACUCUUCACUGAGAGAGUGAAUGGAAGUUUGAGGCAAAAACAGGUCUGUGAUGCCCUUAGAUGUUCUGGGCCACACGCGCGUUACACUGACAUAUUCAACGAGCAUUAUCCUUGCCCGUCGGGGUUGGGUAAUCUUUUAAAUGUAUGUCGUGCUGGGGAUAGAUCAUUGUAAUUAUUGGUCUUGAACGAGGAAUUCCUAGUAAGUGCGAGUCAUCAACUCGCGCUGAUUACGUCC
Molecule: ribosomal RNA, 1303 nt
Filed under: metagenome
Description: SSU rRNA
Rfam family: Eukaryotic small subunit ribosomal RNA
Source: RNAcentral